AACGAACGCUGGCGGCGUGCCUAACACAUGCAAGUCGAGCGGGCCCUCCUUAGCUCCGCAAGGAGCGACGGAGGGUCAGCGGCGCACGGGUGAGUAACACGUGAGUAAUCUGCCUUCGAGACCGGGAUAACUUGCCGAAAGGCGGGCUAAUACCGGACAAGACCACACCUUCUUCGGGAGGCGGGGUCAAAGAUGGCCACUAUUUAUCAGUUAUCACUUGGAGAUGAGCUCGCGGCCCAUCCGCUAGUUGGUAGGGUAAUGGCCUACCAAGGCGAUGACGGGUAGCUGGUCUGAGAGGACGACCAGCCACACUGGAACUGAGACACGGUCCAGACUCCUACGGGAGGCAGCAGUGGGGAAUAUUGCGCAAUGGAGGAAACUCUGACGCAGCAACGCCGCGUGGGUGAUGAAGGCCUUCGGGUCGUAAAGCCCUGUCAGCGGGGAAGAAACUCCGGGGAGCGAAUAGGUCUCCGGAUUGACGGUACCCGCGGAGGAAGCACCGGCUAACUCCGUGCCAGCCGCCGCCGUAA
This 530-nucleotide ribosomal RNA is filed under the name uncultured bacterium. RNAcentral describes it as "partial 16S ribosomal RNA". It matches the Rfam family "Bacterial small subunit ribosomal RNA", at positions 29 to 523 of the family's 1533-position model. The record is from RNAcentral.